GAGUUUGAUCUUGGCUCAGAUUGAACGCUGGCGGCAUGCCUUACACAUGCAAGUCGAACGGCAGCACGGGAGCUUGCUCCUGGUGGCGAGUGGCGAACGGGUGAGUAAUGCAUCGGAACGUAUCCUGGAGUGGGGGAUAACGUAGCGAAAGUUACGCUAAUACCGCAUAUUCUGUGAGCAGGAAAGCGGGGGACCUUCGGGCCUCGCGCUCUUGGAGCGGCCGAUGUCGGAUUAGCUAGUUGGUGAGGUAAAGGCUCACCAAGGCGACGAUCCGUAGCAGGUCUGAGAGGAUGAUCUGCCACACUGGAACUGAGACACGGUCCAGACUCCUACGGGAGGCAGCAGUGGGGAAUAUUGGACAAUGGGCGAAAGCCUGAUCCAGCCAUGCCGCGUGUGUGAAGAAGGUCUUCGGAUUGUAAAGCACUUUAAGUUGGGAGGAAGGGCAGUAAGUUAAUACCUUGCUGUUUGACGUUACGACAGAAUAAGCACCGGCUAACU
RNAcentral lists this ribosomal RNA (498 nucleotides) under bacterium enrichment culture clone ALO1_GLFRUDD03G5W82. RNAcentral's name for it is "bacterial SSU rRNA". It matches the Rfam family "Bacterial small subunit ribosomal RNA", at positions 9 to 502 of the family's 1533-position model. The record is from RNAcentral.